This 2437-nucleotide long non-coding RNA is filed under the name Nicotiana benthamiana. RNAcentral's name for it is "long non-coding RNA (NBEN_LNC013991)". The record is from RNAcentral. Lineage: Eukaryota; Viridiplantae; Streptophyta; Magnoliopsida; Solanales; Solanaceae.
AAAUACUGAAAGUUAACACAAUACAACAAAUGAGUACAAUAUAUAGACUUUGUUGCGACGCGCAACCCGAUCCUACCAUACUUCACAAUCCUCUCAUAUUUCAUCACAUCAAUAUCAAGAAUAACUUAUAAAAUGUAUUACAACGCGCAACCCGAUCCCGCCAUAUAUAAAAUAAGAAUCACUAUCAUAAUCCUCCUUUAUUUUAAAAUCACAUAUAACAUUUGUUACGGCGUGCAACCCGAUCUCACCAUAUCAAUAUCUAUAUCAAUCAUCCAUUACUUCACUCGUUGCACCGUGCAAUCCGAUCUAUAAACAAAAUCAGUAAAUGUAAUCAAUUUAACAACUCAAUUCACGUGAAUCUCUACGAUUAAAGAAUGUGAAAGCAAAGCAAUAAGGAACCUCAUACCAAAUCAAGGAAUGUUACAAUUAACACAAAGUGACAAGACAAGCCAAAUAUAUGAGUUAUAUUAUACAAGUAAGAUAAUUAAGGCGAUUAAAAAUUAAUCAUGAAAUUAUGGAAAAAACAAACAUUUCAAUACAAGAGUAAAUAGAUGAUAGGUAACAAGUUACGGCAUAGAAAGCAAUUAAAACAUAUAAUAAUUAAGACAAGGAAUAAGAUAAUUAAUGUAGUACGGGAAAGCAUAGGGACAAUCGCUUUGACAGCAUAUAUACACCUAUCACCUCGCAUAUACUCCAUUACACAUGUAAUUCACAUAACAUAUAGUUCAAGAGUUCCUAAUUCCCUCAAAUCAAGAAUAGACUCAACACUUAUCUUGCACCGCAAUUAAAUCAAAGCUCAACCGAGGGUUUAUUUCUAAAAUUAGCCUCCCAACCAAUCGAAUCUAACAAAAUCGACUUUAUAUCAACAAACAAUGCUAGGGAAAUCAAUUAUAAUACAUAAAGUUAGGAUCUUUAUGCUUUUCCCGAAAAGUCAACAAAUGUCAAUCCCGAACCUGCUUGGUCAAAACAUGAUAUUCGGACCAAAACCGAUUACUCAGUCAACCCCCGAGCCCGAUUAUACUAUUAGUUUCGAAAUGCGACCUCAAUUUGAAGUAUAAAUUUUUAUUUUACAAAAAAUUUAAAUUAUACCAAAAUCCCUAAGUUUUAACAUGAAAAUCCUAGAUUUAAUGUUGAAAAUACGUAGAAAGUAAUGAGUAAUUGAAAAAAAAAUAUGGAAGUUUCUUAUCAUUUUUUUGGGAAAAAAAUCUUCUUAGAAAAUUGCCUCUAGGAUGUUUAGGGUUUAGAAUUUGUGAAAAAUAAGCUAAAUCCCGUAUUCCCAAUUUUUUGUUCUGGUUCAGAUAUUGCAAACGCAUGUUAAAGAUUCAUUGCAAAUGCGAAGGAACUCACAUGUUUGUUGUCAUCGCAACUGCGAUGAUUUGUCCGCAAAUGCGAAUGCUGGAACUUUACAAGAGCGAUCAAAUGAUCGCAAUUUAAGAUCAAGUGAUCACAAUUGGACAUGAAUUUGACUUGAAAAAGUAUUGCAUUAUUAUGAGAGGAAAAUAUUGUUUACGUAAAAAAAGAUAAAGCUCAAUUUUUCAAUUUUGGAAAUUAUCUUCAAAAUAUUUUGAAUCUCGUCUUCAAAAAUUGAGGAGUCGUUUUGACAUAGGUUUUUUUUUCGAAAGAUAUUUUCAAAUCAGUGUUUGGUGAUACAUUUAACUGGAUAUUUGAAGAUGUGUUUCAAAUUUUUUAAAAUAUAUAACCCAACAUGAAGGAAAAAACAAGAAGGAGGUUUGGGGGUAACAUAUAUAAUAAAAUGGAAUGAAGUUGCAGUUGCCAAAUGUAUGGAAUAUAAUUCAAAAAGCUGACAACUUAUGGAUGAAAUGGAUCAACGAUGUCUACUUAAAGGAGAAGGAUUGAUGGAAAUAAUAAUGCCCCAUUGAUGCUUGCUGGUAUUGGAAGAAAAUAUGUAGAAUCAAGAAAAUAUUUGCUUCAGGCUAUAAUCACAACUUAUGGAGCAAUGCCAAUGGAAAGUACACAAUAAAGGGAUAACACACAUGGAGAAUGGGAGAAAAUGAGAACUGGCCAUGGAGAAGAUGGGUAUGGAAUAGCAUGAACCUACCCGAACACAACUUUAUUUGCAGAUCACUAUGCAUCAAAGGCUGCUGACAAAGUCCAGAUUGUAUAGCAUGAGCAUUAGACAAGAAGAUAGAUGUCCAAUAUGUGGAACAAAAGAGGAAACUGCCCAAUAUCUACUCUCUGAUUGUGUAUAUUCACAGCAAUGCUUACGGGAAGUGUUACAGUAGAUGAAUAUAGGCAUACAAAAUAUAGAGAUAACAGGGAUCUAGAGAAGAGUAACUAGACUACUUAAAUGGAGAAGAUGCAGGGAAGUUGACACUGCUAUAAUGGUUGUCUUGGUGUACUGUAUAUGGAAGGAAAUGAAUAAUAUUGUAUGGGAUUUCAAUAGUACUGGCUAUGGAAGGCAAAAUACAACACAAAC